RNAcentral lists this ribosomal RNA (1449 nucleotides) under gut metagenome. Its description in RNAcentral is "bacterial LSU rRNA". It matches the Rfam family "Bacterial large subunit ribosomal RNA", at positions 689 to 2157 of the family's 2925-position model. The record is from RNAcentral.
AGGGCGGAAUAGUCUGAGGUCGUGGACCCGAAACCGGGUGAUCUAGCCAUGAGCAGGUUGAAGUCGGGGUAAGACCCGAUGGAGGACCGAACCGACCCCCGUUGAAACGUUGGCGGAUGACUUGUGGCUAGGGGUGAAAUUCCAAUCGAACCCGGAGAUAGCUGGUUCUCCCCGAAAUAGCUUUAGGGCUAGCGUCGCAGCGAGAGAGCCGUGAAGGUAGAGCACUGAAUAUGCGAUGGCCGCAUCCCGCGGUACUGAGCAUAAUCAAACUCCGAAUGUCACGGUGUCAUCUGCGGCAGUCAGACGGCGAGUGAUAAGGUCCGUCGUCAAAAGGGAAACAGCCCAGACCAUCAGCUAAGGUCCCAAAGUGCAUGCUAAGUGGAAAAGGAAGUGGAGACGUGCAGACAACUAGGAGGUUGGCUCAGAAGCAGCCAUCCUUCAAAGAGUGCGUAACAGCUCACUAGUCGAAUGACUCUGCGCCGAUAAUUUACCGGGGCUAAGCAUGACACCGAAGCUAUGGACAGGAAUGUGGUAGGGGAGCAUUGCAUGCAGCGGAGAAGCAUGACCGGAAGGGCAUGUGGAGCGCAUGGAAGAGAGAAUGCCGGCGUGAGUAGCGGCACGUGGGUGAGAAUCCCACGCACCGAUGGCCCAAGGUCUCCAGAGGAAGGCUCGUCCUCUCUGGGAUAGUCGGGACCUAAGGCGAGGCCGAAAGGCGUAGCCGAUGGACGACGGGUGGAUAUUCCCGUACCCGAUGUGUGGCGAUGGAGUGACGGAGAAGGCUCAGGCAACCAGCUGCUGGAAUAGCUGGGGCAAGCGAGAUACCUGCGCACCAGGGAAAUCCGGUGCGCAUAAGGGGAAGGCGCGAUGCAUACGGAAAGCUACGGCAAGUACGGAAAAGCUGAGAGCAGGCUUCCAGGAAAAGCUUCUAGCACCACACACAUCGGCCCGUACCGAAAAUGGACACACAUGGGCAAGGAGAGAAUCCUGAGGUGAGCGAGAGAACUAUAGCUAAGGAACUCUGCAAAAUGACCCCGUAACCUAGGGAGAAGGGGUGCUCCAGAAAUGGAGCCGCAGUAAAACGGCCCAAGCGACUGUUUACCAAAAACACAGCUCUCUGCGAAGGCGCAAGCCGAAGUAUAGGGGGUGACGCCUGCCCGGUGCUGGAAGGUCAAGGGGAGCUGUCAGCGCAAGCGAAGCAGCGAGCCGAAGCCCCAGUAAACGGCGGCCGUAACUAUAACGGUCCUAAGGUAGCGAAAUUCCUUGUCGGGCAAGUUCCGACCCGCACGAAAGGCGUAACGAUUUGGGCGCUGUCUCAGCUGUAGACUCGGUGAAGUCUUAGUACCUGUGAAGAUGCAGGUUGCCCGCGACUAGACGGAAAGACCCCAUGGAGCUUCACUGCAGGUUGACAUUGGGCUUGGAUGCAUGAUGUACAGGAUAGGUGGGAGGCUG